Long non-coding RNA from Herpailurus yagouaroundi (jaguarundi), 3567 nucleotides. RefSeq lists it as uncharacterized. NCBI's taxonomy places the organism in Eukaryota, Metazoa, Chordata, Mammalia, Carnivora, Felidae. The record is from RefSeq and is a predicted model, not a curated record. The transcript is spliced from 2 exons.
AUCCUGCUUGGGAUUCUGUGUCUCCCUCUAUCUCUGCCUCUCCCCUGCUUGUGCUCUCAUUGAUACAAUGUUGACACAAUGUUUAAUGAUAUGAUAAAUCCCUAAUUCUCUCAGCCAAACACAAAUCCAUGUGGUUUUGUUUUGGAGCUUUGUCUAUCUCAAAGGUGAUACUUACCAAAUGGAAGAGUGUGGACGUGGAAGUAUAAAAGUUCAAGACUCAAGCCUUCGUUCUCACUUAGAUGGCCACUUCUUGUAGUAUCUUGGAUUAAUGACUUAAAUUCUCAGAACUUUACUUUUCGAUUAGUUUAAGAAAGUGGGAGUAAUAAUUCCAAUUUUAUGCAGUUGUGUUUGGAGGACUGCACAUGCAAGGGCACUCACUGGUCUUGACACAUCAACAAAAGCUAGAACAUGAAGAACUGAUGAAGCAAAAUAAAUCAAACUGGGUUUUUGUAUUUAGGUGACACAAAAGGAAAUUAGUGUAAUUAGGACACCUGGCAGAAACUCUCACCACAUCCUCUAAGAUGGAAAGUAGUGUGCUGCUUGUUAGACUCCAAAACUCACUAGUUGAUGCAGGACGGUGUAGCUGAAAUGAUCUUUACAUAAAUAAAGUUAACUUUAAGUCCUGUCUGACGAUGUGUUGGGGACCACCUCAUCUGGGACAGGAGCUUUUUGUCACUCUCAGGCCCUCACAAGCAACAACAUAUUUAAAUGAUGAAUUAUAUCGAGGUAUAUUCCAAGUCCUCGACCAUCAUACUUAGACUUUCAGGGUGCUGUAGACUGAUGGUCAAUUUCCUGAGGUGUCCGGGAGUGGAGAAGGGGGUGGGAGCUCAUGUUCCCAUACAUUUAAUCUACUUGCCUUGGGACUUUUCCAGCAUCGUGAAAUGAUGUGAGAUGUGAAAAGUGCAUGCCUGCCUGGCCUAAGACAACUGCUUUUACUCUUCAAAAAAGAAAAUCUAUCACGUAGAGGGGCCAGACCCUGAUUGACCAGUGUAAUUUGCAGAGGUUGGAGUUUAUUUUGCCAAAUUAUUUGUUACAUUUCCUGAUACAUAGUGAUAGUUUUGGAGUAAAUGCUUUUUCUAAAAGGUAACCAUUAUUCAUGAACACUGUACCACUCAACUAAAGGGCAUACAGUGGGUAAGUAUAUUUAAUUUCCUUAUACUGAGCAUUCAAAGUUUUCCCUUACACAGAAGCUGUGGGAAAGAGUAAGCACACACUUGGAAACUCUUUCUGCUUACAGAUGUGUAAAGAAACCAUUUUUUACAGUAGAGUUUCACUUAAGCACAGUUGGAGAGAAUCUCAACCAGAUGUGUUAAAAGUCACUUUAAUCUUCCAAGAUGUGGGUAUUUCAGAUUUCCCCACGCCCAUGUAUGUAUUUCAGUAACAGUAGUCUGAAAAUCAUCUAGCCAGAAAAGAAUGUUACUUGGUACUGUUCAGUUUGGAGGGGAAGAAUGUUUUCUUUGGGAGAACAAUAAAAAAAGAAAAUGAUCAGAAAAAAAAAAUAAUAAUGGGAAAGUGGGUAUCCUCGGUUGUCUGCUGUAGAGUCUAGGAGGAAUCUGUUCAAUUAAGGUAACACCCCUGGGAGAGGUAUCCAGAAGUAGAAGUGAAAUCAUCAAAGUGAUCUGAGAAAUACAGAAAAAUGUAUAGGAUGGUUUUGGAAGCCAUAAAGAACUGAAUCCCUGCUGUGAAAACAGCAGUGAAGAGUCUAGAUUUUAUUCAGUUCUGCUGUCUUGAAGAUGGGUUAGACCAGUGGACUGAUGAAUACUGUGUUGUUUUGUUUGUUUGUGUUUGUUUUUUGAGUUGAGUUAUAAGUUAACAUGACUUACAGUUCCUCCCAUUAAAGUGAAUUGUGAGGUAGUUUUUAAGUGCAUUAACAAAGCUGUGCAACCACUGCCCAGAAAGCAACACAGGGCGUUGAAUGUUUAGCUUUUAGAUGACGUAUAUUUCACAUGCUGUUCAGUUUACCCUUCAAAGUGUAAGAUUCAGAGGGUUUUCGUACAUUGCAAACGUUGUGUAACCACCACCAAUCUAGAACAAAGAAAUUAGGUUAUUUAGUAGAAAGGAUCAUAUAUUCUGCUUGUUCUUGGGUUUUAUUAAACAGUUUGAGGAUGAGUGAACAUAGUUUUUAAUGGAUAGGUUGUUUGUACUGCAAAGUGUUCUGUUGCAUAGCUACCACUGGUAAAUUAAUAGGAGGAAUGUGAUCAUUUUAGUAAUUUCAGUUCCAUCCUUGUUUCUCUAGAAAAUAUAAAAAAAGGAAUUUUUACAUUUCUGCAGUAAGUGGAAGUCCGGAACUGAAAUUGUCUGUCACCUGAUUUCCUCCUUCUCAGGAUCACGGAUGGCGUUGCACGGGAAGUGGAGAGGUAUUUUUCCUUCACAGCGGUUUGUCUGAGUAAAGUGGGCUGCUUUGGAUUCAACUUUAUCUGCUUUCGCCCUGAGAGAAGGGCUGGUCGUAUUUCAACAUUAUGAGUCCAUAGUUGUUGGGUGGAAAUAUUUUUGUGCAGCCCCGUGAAAUUCCAUUUUGGCGGCUGGGGUUAGAGAACGGCUGGGUGUUGCCUCUCAGCUGGAGGUCAUACUGCCCCACGCUGACGGUUAGCACCCAAGUUCUUAGGCAUUGGAUUAGUGGUGUUUGACACGUGAGUUCAUUCUUGAGUGCCUCGCCCAAUGUUGCCAAUAAAGUAGGAUUAGGUCCUGUCGACCUAUUUAAAACGUGUUCUAGGGCUGUGAAAGCAAUGACAGCCUUCUCUGCAGACGCUAAGGUAUGAGUCAUGCACGUCUCCUCUGUACUUUUCUGGCAGGAGGAAUGAUUGAACGAUGCUUUGUUCUCGGAAUCUGGUAAUACCGCGUUCGACCACCUGACACGUUAAAUGCAUUAUGUUUAAUGGCAAUAUAAUGCCCAUCAUUGUCUUUUCAGCCCAAAGCCCAAAGAAGCACUUGAAGCAUUGGACGCGCUACAAACCAAUGACUCUCUUUGGGAUGCAUCACCUCACAUCUAAGCUGGAGGGGACAGUAUUUGAACUCAGCACUUUCUUGUACCACAGAGAGCUCAAGCUUAAGUUACCUUUGCUUAACGUGCCCUUCUUUACCCACUUCCUGUGCAUACCAGAAGCAAUGCUAGUCGCAAGCAGGUAAACCUCACUCACUCCUUCCAGCCUAAAGAGAAAGGGGGGAGUGGAAGACUUAUAGAGGGAAUGUGGGAACUGAUAAAAAGAGUAGCUCCUGGAGUCCAUUUAGUGUGCACCAUUAGGAGGUUUUCUAGUUUGGCUCUUGUUCCCCGUUCAUACUUUACAUUUACCCAAAAUGUUGUCCUGAGACUCCUAUGAGGUUUACAGUAACUUUUAAAUUUCGAUAAGCUGAUUAAAGUAGCAAGUUUGGAAGGGGAACCCACUUAGUCACUUUUAUUUUUUUUUUAUUUUUAUUUAUUUAUUUUUAUUCACUUUAUCAUUUUUAAGAGGUGGUAGAUACUCUGUGGGGAACCCGAGUUACAUGCAAUGGGUGUUGUUCUACACAAAUGUAUUAUAUUUAUUUGAACUAGCAUUUAUUUGAACUAGCAUAGUAUACCAUUUGAAACCC